GGUGGCACAGCGGGGCCAUGAGCUCAAAGCUCUCUGCUCACCUUUCGGUGCUCCUGAUACCAAGCUGCUAGGAGCAGGAUGACUGUGCACUGCAUUUGAAUGUUUACACUCCUUUCUUUUUCUUUCUCUAAAUCCCUCUUCAUCGGUGCUGUGUCUGCACAAAGGACUGAUGGUGUGACGGUUUGUGUAGACUCACCCCAGGGAGUGGCAGUGUUGGAAGGUGUGACCCUGUUGGAGUAGGUCCUAGCUGCCUGGAAGCCAGUGUUCUGCUAACAGCCUUCAGAUGAAGAUGUAGAGCUCUCAGCUCCUCCUGCACCACGCCUGCCUGGACGAUGCCACAUUCCUGCCUUGAUGAUAAUGGACUGAACCUCUGAACCUGUAAACCAGACCCAAUUAAAAGUUGUCCUUAUAAGAG
RNAcentral lists this long non-coding RNA (415 nucleotides) under Rattus norvegicus (Norway rat). RNAcentral describes it as "long non-coding RNA NONRATT008559". The record is from RNAcentral. Lineage: Eukaryota; Metazoa; Chordata; Mammalia; Rodentia; Muridae.